Molecule: long non-coding RNA, 397 nt
Filed under: Dromaius novaehollandiae (emu)
Lineage: Eukaryota; Metazoa; Chordata; Aves; Casuariiformes; Dromaiidae
Description: lncRNA (ENSDNVG00000014943.1)
Source: RNAcentral
AAAUACGCGUGCGUGCGAGGGCUGCGACGAGGUGCGUCCUGCGCCAUACGGUCCGUGCAGAUGCGCGUUGGCAGGUGUGAACCGUGUAACUAUAUUUGUGUGCGUUGAAGAUUGUUUUGGAGGAAGCAAGAGGCUGCUGAGAACUCAGGCUAGGAGCAGCAAGGAGCCCAGGGAUAUGUCUCUGCUCUGCGAAACUCUCUGCAGAUAUGUUACAAAUAGUCAUGCUCUGUCUACUUUCUGUCCGUCUGGGCUGAUUUUCUCUCUCUUCUCCCUCACWCUGAGGGAUGCAACAGGRGAAAUGAGCGCUGCCAACAACAGAGAAGGAACGGGAGUGUGAUUCAUCUGAGCAGAGUAAGUGCUUGGUAUUGGGAGAAAGUCCUGUUCAAAGAGAAAUAAU